RNAcentral lists this transfer RNA (63 nucleotides) under Diekeana admirabilis. Its description in RNAcentral is "Epilachna admirabilis tRNA-Gly". Lineage: Eukaryota; Metazoa; Arthropoda; Insecta; Coleoptera; Coccinellidae. The record is from RNAcentral.
AUUUAAAUAGUAUAAUAAUUAUAAUUGAUUUCCAAUCAAAAGAUCUAAAUUUUAGUUUAAAUA